Molecule: long non-coding RNA, 8662 nt
Filed under: Gossypium barbadense (sea-island cotton)
Lineage: Eukaryota; Viridiplantae; Streptophyta; Magnoliopsida; Malvales; Malvaceae
Description: long non-coding RNA (GBAR_LNC013195)
Source: RNAcentral
UUUUUUUUCCUUUCUCGAAAAUUGAAGUAAACAAACCUUAAAUGGUGGUGUCUGAUAAAAUUAAAAUUAUGAGUUUUUAUAUUACUGUUUGAGCAGGAGACUUUGUCCAUUUUCCAUCCUAUUCUGCUAGCAAUAUAUGGCUCAAAAUAGGAGGGGAAAAAUUGGAAAAACUACUUUUCUUGAUAGCUUAGCUAUAUAUUUCAGAUUUAAAAAAUACCUUUUUAUUUCAAAAGUAAAUUAUUUCUCUCAAAUAAAAUUGGAUUAACUGAAUCUCUAUUAAUUUUUAAAAUGAGCAACUAAGAAUAAUUAAUAAUGAUGUUAAUGUUUUUCGUCAAUUAUACAUUAUUUUGAUUAGUAUAAUAAUAAAUUUAGCCCUUGAUGUUUAUACGUGUUAUAUAAAUGUUGACAAAAUAUGUAAAUAUUCGAGCUAAAUUAUUAAAUCAAGACUGAAUUGAUAAUAUAUAUAAAUAAUAUUUGCUAAAUUAUUAAAUCAAGACCAAAUUAACAUAAUGUGUAAACUUUAAAAACUAAAAUUAUUAUAAUAUCAAUAAAAAUAUAUAAUUGAUGAUUAAUUAUCUUGCUCAUUUUCUAAAUUAACAGGAAUUAGACUAAUCUAAUAAAAAUAAAAAUUUACUCAGUAUCAAAAUUUUAAAAAUAAAAUCAUUGACACCAUGCUAGUCCCCAUAAAGCAAAGUCCUAAUCAAAAUUUCAACAUUGCUUGACCCUUAAAUAAAUACCUUAACAAAAUUUCUACAAUGUUAGGUUUCUUGUCAUGUCGGACUAAGAUUUUCUUUUCCCUAAUUCUAGGCCCCCGUCCCCACACAUUUAGACCUAAAAAUAUUUUCUACAAAGCCAAACCCCAGAGACCAAGUCCGAAUAAAAUUUCACAAUGCUAGGCCCCAUAUAACAUGAUCUAAUAAAAAUUUCCACACCAAUCUUUACGCAUACCUAAUAACGCAUUGAUUGCUACUUAUUAUAUAUAGCUAUGUAAAACUCUUUAAUCGAUAAUUUCGUGUUCAAUUUACAUAUACUAACAAUAUUUUAUGAUCCAAAUGUUGUAUUAAUAAAAGUUUCAAUUUUUUAUGAUUUAGAAUAACGUGUAUUAGUGCAUUAUGUUGACAUAUAAAAUUUGUUUUUUUUCUUAAUUUAACAUAUAAAUGCAAUGGUUUGAAAUGUGAACAUGAUUGCGUUGUUUGCUUGAAAUCUUAUAUAAACAUACGCUAUCCACUCCACUCUUGUUCUAUAUCAACCUUCCCAUUAUCAUCUCUAAGAGAAACCAUGAAAAGGUGGUUAAUACCAUCGUAUUUUGUGAUCUUUUCCCUCUUCUUUACCUAUAAUUCUUCUGCUCUAACAUUACCGUUUUGCCCUCAUGACCAAAGUGCUGCCUUAAUCCAAUUCAACAGCUCCUUUUCCAUUGAUUGUUCCGGUUUUAGGCAACCAUCUAUAUCCAGGGCUAAGACAAUCUCCUGGGAGGAAGGAACAAACUGUUGCUUGUGGGAUGGGGUUAAGUGUGAUACUGAAACAGGGAAUGUGAUUGCCCUUGAUCUUAGUUUCAGCUGCCUUUUUGGCCCUUUCCCCUCUAACAACACCCUCUUCCUACUCCGCCAUCUCCGUCAGCUUAACCUUGCCGGGAAUGAUUUCAGAUUCUCCCCAAUGGCAUCCCAGUUUGGUCAAUUGACUAGUUUGACCCAUCUAAACAUCUCCUGGUCCAGCUUUAUUGGUAAAGUUCCACCUGAAAUCUCUCGCCUUUCUAAACUAUUAUCCCUUGAUUUAUCCAUGUCUGGUUUGAUGUUUGAAGGGCAUGUCUUUGAAAAUAUGGUCGCAAACUUGACACAACUAAGACACCUUCUCCUCUCAGAAGUCAAUAUGUCUCAAGUUGUUCCUACUUCUUUCCUUAACAUGUCUUCUUACAUACAAACUCUUGUCCUCGAGAAUAAUUACGAACUGCACGGAAAGUUCCCUGAAGAUGUUUUCCGCUUUCCUUACUUACAAAAGUUCCGUGUUUCUAGUAAUUUUCUUGAACUCAAGUUCCCAAAGACUAAUUGGAGUGCUCCCCUCAAGUCACUGCAAGUAACGUUGUCAUAUUUGGAGGAACUGCCUGAUUCAAUUGGUGACCUUACAUCUCUGGAGAUAUUGGAUCUUCCUGUUAAUCAUUUAGGAGGGCCAAUUCCAGCAUCUCUUGGCAACCUCACACAACUAAAGUAUUUAGAUCUUUCCGAUAAUAACCUUAGUGGUGUUUUGCCAGUUUCUGCUUUUAACCUUAGACAAGUUCAAUUUGUAGAUUUUUCAGGAAACAAGUUGGCUGGUUCCUUUCCUUCUCAAGUAAGUGACCUUUCACAACUUAGUAUUCUAGACCUUGAUCGCAACUUUCUCAGUGGCAGGGUACCGUCCUGGUUGUUUUCUCUUCCAUCUUUAGUUUUGUUGAGGCUCAGUAAUAACAAGCUUACUGGUCCAAUUGACCAAUUUGACAAGGUUACUCCAUUGGAGGAGGCUUAUUUGCAGAACAAUGAGAUAGAGGGUCCAGUUCCUGGUUCUAUUGCCCUACUUGUGAACCUUAUUUAUCUUGAUCUUUCCUCCAAUAAGUUGAGUGGGAAUUUUGAGUUGGACAAACUAUCAAAGCUCAAAAAACUUGAGUCUCUUACUCUCUCAAAUAACGCUUUGCUAUCAUUUACCAGUGAAAGCAAGGCCAAUUACUCCUUGCCUAAUCUUUUGUCACUAAACCUCUCUUCUUGUGACGUCAUUGAUUUUCCAGAUUUUGUAAGGAAUCUAGAAGGUUUGAGAGAGUUAGACCUUUCGAACAAUCGAAUCCAUGUCAUUGAAGCAAAUAUGUUUGUGAAGCUUAAAGAACUUCAACGACUGGAUCUGUCACACAACAGCCUGCUAUCCCUGAGCAACAAUGGCAACCUUAGUCUUUUCUUGCCAAAUCUUGGUUACUUGUCAUUGGCAUCAUGUAAUCUAACUGUAUUUGCAAAUUUCUUGACAAUACAAGAGAGUUUGCGAGAGUUAUACCUUUCGAACAACAGCAUUCAAGGCCAAAUUACCAAACAAGAAAGAACUUGGGGAAGCAACCUAGUGAUUCUUGAUCUUUCUAACAAUUUGUUGACAGUUGUAGAAUAUUAUCCAUGGAGGAAUAUAAAAGUUCUUAGGCUUGACUCCAAUCUGCUAGAAGGGCCACUUCUAGUACCACCGCCUUCCACAUCUGUUUUCUCCAUCUCAAACAACAAAUUGACGGGUGAAGUUCCAUAUUCGAUUUGCGAAUUCGGCACAGAAAUUGAUGCAGCUCUCGACUUGUCUCAUAACAACUUGAGUGGAGUAAUUCCAAAAUGUGCAGGCUUGGCAAAUAUUGCUUACCUGGAUUUGCAUGCGAAUAAUUUUCAUGGAAACAUCCCUGAUUUUUGUGUUAAUGAAAACAAUAUGUUAAGUACACUUAAUCUCAACGACAAUGAUUUUGAUGGGCCAUUACCUAAAUCCUUGGCCAACUGUCUUCUUUUGGAAGUGUUGAUUCUUGGAAACAACAAGAUAAAUGACACAUUUCCCUAUUCGUUGGGAAAUCUUCCUUCGCUUCAAGUGCUUGUCUUGCGCUCCAACAAUUUCCAUGGUCAAGUAAUCAAUCCAGACAACCAAUCUUAUUUCUCAAAUCUGCGAAUCUUAGACCUCUCCCAUAAUAAUUUCUCUGGUUAUCUGCCAACAACUUUCUUCAAGAGUCUUGAAGGUAUGAUGGGUUUGGCCGAUGUUGAUAUGGCUUAUAUGGGAGAUCGUUUUCAAUAUUACACAGAUUCCAUGGUUCUCACAAUGAAAGGUGAGGACAUUGUGCUAGAGAGAAUUCUAACUAUUUUUGCAGCCAUCGAUAUGUCAAGCAACAAAUUCGAAGGAACAAUUCCAGAAACAGUUGGAAACCUUAUUUCUCUCCAGGUGCUCAACUUUUCUCACAACCACUUAACCGGUCAUAUUCCUUCCUCAUUGGGGAAUUUGGUAGCACUUGAGUCGCUAGAUCUUUCUUGCAACGAGCUUGUUGGGGAGAUUCCUUCGGAGUUGAAUGGUUUGAAUUUUCUUGAAGUGUUAAACCUGUCAGAGAACCAGCUCGUUGGGCUCAUACCUCGGGGAAAACAAUUCAACACCUUUCUCAACGAUUCCUACGCAGGCAAUAUAGGACUGUGUGGGUUUCCCGUUUCAAAAAGCUGCGGCCGUAGUGAACCACCACCAGCAAUUUUUGAUGAAGAGGAAGUUGAUUCUGCAUUUGGAUUGGAUUGGAAAUUUGUAAUGAUGGGUUAUGGGUGUGGAUUGGUUUUUGGAUUUUCAGCUGGUUACAUCAUGAUGACAAUUCGGAAACCAAAAUGGCUUGUUGGGAUGAUUCAACGCGCAGGCAACAGAGUUCUUAGGAGAUUCAAGAAAUAUCGUUGAGGAAGAUAGAAUUUGUGAAGACAGAUGUUUGCUCAUCGGUGGCUGCUUGAACACCUUUUCUGUGGAAUCUCUCUCGCCAUGAUUUUCUUUUUGUUACUGUUAUUGCUCCCAAUAUAGAGUCAUUUGUAGUUUUGUCCAUGUCUUACGUACUUCUGAGUUUUAAUAAAUUUGAUGAAAUAAUUCUUUAUCUAAAUUAAAAACAGCAUUGAAUUUUUUUUUUGCUGAAUACUUACUUGAAUUUUGAAUAAAUAAAAAUUAAAUUGAAUUUUUAGUUAAUCGAAUUGAAUUAUUUGAGUCAAUUCGAAUAAGUAAUUCGAGAUUCGAGUUGAAUUUUACAAUUCGAGUAACUCAAUGAUUCAAAUAAUAAAUUGGUGUAAAUAUCAUUUUGGUCCCUAUCAAAUUUGAAAAUGAGCAAAUUGAUCUCUCUCAACAAAAAUUAUAAAAAAGAUUAAAAAAAAUUUAGAAUUCAAAAUUUUAUAUUUUUAAAAUUUCUAAAAAAAAUUCUAAAAAUAUAUAUAAAGAAAGUUAAAUAUUUUAAAAAAAAUAGAAUAAUAAUUUUGGACUUAAAUAAGUUAAUUAAUUAUUUAAGUUUGUCAUAUUAAAGUAUUUUUUAUUAUUUUGUUUUUGAAAAAGUUUUCAAAUAUAUAUGGUUUAAAAUUUAUGUGCUAUAAUAUGGAAUUAGUUAUACUGUAACAAUAUUUUACUUUGACAUAUUUAAUUUUUUAAUUUAACUCUAAUAAUUUCACUCAAUUCAAUUCGACUCGACACAAAUUUCUUUUCACUUGACUCGAUUCGAGAAAAAUUAAAAUAGGAAUUGUCAACUCAAUUAACUCAAAAAAAUUUCACUCGAUUUGAUCGAACGCUCACCCCUAGUUGCCCCUUUCCUUGCAUGCCACACAUCAUCAUUCGGAAAAUAUUUUCCCUUCAAAACCCUCACCCACAGAGCUUGUUGAUGAUUGAUCAUCCUCCACCUUUGCUUUGCUAAAAGUGCAACAUUAAACAUGUUUAAAUCUCUAGAUCCCAAACCCCCUGCACUCUUACUAUGUCAUUUUAAACCAACUCAUCCAAUGAACCUCUCUCCUCUUAGUUUCUCCACCAAAAAGUUGUCAUUUUAGUAUUAAUCUCAUCACAAAUCUUCUUGGGAAAUUUAAAACACGACAUUGUGUAAGUCAUAAUAGUGCAAGCAAUAGCUUUUAGCAUAAUUUCCUUACCCCUUGGCUUAACAUCUUCAGUUUCCAUCCUUUAUUUUUUAUUUUAUUUUAUUUUUUGCAAAAUUCCUUCUUUGACAAAGCCCAUAGCUUGCCUCUUUGUUUUGCCCUCAAAAGUAGGAAUUCCUAGGUAUGAUCCUACAUUAUCAGCUACUGCAAUCUGUAGCUCUUGACUCAUAUUCACUCUUUGUUACUGUGGCACAUUUGCACUAAAAAAGAUACUCGACUUGCUGAAGUUAAAAAGCUGACCUGAUGCUGCACGAUGGCCAGCUAUGCAGUAGCUAAAACUUUGAUGCAUGAUUUUGACCAGUUGAUAGCUGGUUUCUUACUUGGUUCCUUUGUAACUUAUUUUUUGUUAAGCUUUGAAUGUAUUGAUGUUUAGGUGUUGAUUAAGCUGAUUAGUCAGCUUAUCCAAGUGUGCAGCUCAUGUUUUGCAAGUUUCAAGUUUAGUUAGUGGUAGUAGUUAGUGUUUGGUAAGUUGGUUGACUUGAAACCUUGUAAUGCUUUGUUGAUUGUAAUGAAAAUUUUGUUUUUCAUUUCUUUGCUACUCACUUUGGUCUUCUUUGCGAAAACACCAAUAACUUGUAUCAAGAGUAUGUUGUCUUUAAGGGCCAUUUUUUUGUUUUUUGUUUUUCGUUUCUUGCUGAAAAAGAUAAAAGUUGUUUUGUUUCUUGUUGUUGUAAAACAUGUCUUCAACAAACUUCUGACCACCUUCACUACCUAUUUUUGCUUGAGAGAACUACUACAUUUGGGUAGUGAAGAUGAAGACCUACCUCCAGAUUUAGGAGCCACCACCCUUGAGAGCAAAUCCCACCGUUUCUUAGAUAAGGAAACACAAUGAUGAUUGUGCCAAGAAAUACAAAGCAAUGUCUUGUCUAUAGAAUGGUGUUUCAAAUGUUAUUUUCAUCAGGAUCUUGACUUAUGAAAUUCCCAAACAAGCGUGGGACAAGCUGAAGGGGGAGUUCCAAGGCUCAAAAGACAAGACAACAACACCUCAUCAAUCUGAAGAAGGAUUUUGAAAAAUUGAAGAUAAAAGAGGCUGAGACAGUUAAGCAAUACUCAAAUAGGAUUAUGGCAAUGGUUAAUAGCAUCAGGUUACUUGGAGACCAACUCAAUGAUAGCAAGAUUGUUGAUAAGGUUAUCACAACACUUCUUGAAAGGCAUGAGUCCAAAUUUUCCUCUAUGAAAGACUCAAGGGACUUGUCAAGAAUUUACUUGUUUGAGUUGAUAAAUGUUCUCUAUGCUUAAGAGCAUAGAAGAGCAAGUAGACAGAAGAAGCAUUCUAGGCCAAAAGCAAGGAAGGCUUGAGUUCCUCAAGCUAUAAGGGAAAGAAGAGCUGGAAUGAAAAGAAAGAAAAGCCAAAAAGAGAUGUUGAAAGGAAGAAGUAUCCUGUAACACCCUAUACCCAAUCCAAUCACCGAGUGUAGGUACCAAAUGUCACAAUGACCCAUGUUAACUAUUAACAUUCCUAACCUAAAGCGUUUAUUUAAUUUGAAGAUAUGAAAUUUUUAAAAUCUGACAUUUACUAUAUCCUAUAAGUAUGACAAUAUUACAAACUUGUCACCUUAAGAGAGACCAACCCACAUUUUCACAUUCUAAAAUUUGGUGCUUUAAAACAAACACAUCAUCUAAGUCUCCAAGGUGUGAUCUCUAAAGGAGUUCCUCUAUAUACAUGGAACGGUUUACGCGUCCAACUCUCAAUUCUGGUGGUGUCUAGCUUGUUCCCUCCACUCUAGCCCAGAGUCAAAUCAUUAUCCUACACCCAAGGCAACAAAUUCAUAAGUCCAAAAGAACUUAGUGAGGUUCCAUGAUUUUGUACAACAAAAUAUCUUAUUAUUAUUUUUGAAAUGAGGUAGAAGCAAAGAAAAAUUCAAACUCCCUAUUUGUCCAUGGGAUUUCCACUGAUUAUUCCAGCACGAUUAUCGCCUUGCCCUUUUCUUAAUACCUUUACCUUUUUUAUUAAAGAUUGGAAUAGAAAUGUUUAUGGAUUCUUAAGUUUUUGUAAGAGGUAUCUCAUGAGGAAGCUUUCCAAGGUCCAAGUGAAGUUAAAGCGCUCUGAUUCUAUUCAUCUAGUUCAUCAAGAAUUGGAGAUUCGAAACAAGUUGGAAAACAUGUUUAAUCAUAAGGAGUUAUUGUAGAGACAAAAGGUGAUGUGUGAUUGGUUGCAUUUAGGUGACAGAAAUAUGAAAUUCUUUCAUAGUCAUUCACUUUAGAGGAGAAAGUUUAAUCGUAUCAUGGCCUUGCGUCUUGAUAAUGGUGAGUGAUGUUCUGAUCAAAGUAGACUUCAAACUGAGGUUGCGGGAUUCUUUGAAAGAUUAUAUGGUGAAACUCUGGAGUUGAUGAGGGAUCUUCUGAUGGAUAUCUUUCCACGUCUUAAUUUAUCUUAUAUUACUUACUUGGAAGAGCCAGUAACUAAUGAUGAGAUUAAAAGGGCUUUAUUUGAAAUGGAUCUAAUGAAAACCUUAGGAAGUGAUAAUUUCCAUGCACUUCUUUUCCAGAGCCAGUGGGAUAUUGUUGGCAGUGUUGUUUGUGAGUGGGUACAAGGUAUUUUUGCAGGGAAUCCUAUUGAUUCAAAUUUGAAUAACACAUUGAUCGUUCUUAUCCCAAAAAAAUAGAUUUUCUUGAGAACUUUAAUCAAUUUCAUCCAAUCAGUCUUUGCUCUGUCUUGUAUAACUGGUGAUGAAAGUGAUUGCAAAUCGAUUUAAGUUGGUUUUUCCCAACUUUAUUUCAUAGGAACAAGGUGGUUUCAUUGUUGGGCACAAUAUCUCAAAUAAUAUUAUUAUAGAGCAAGAAGUCAUUCACACCAUGAGAAGGAAACGUAAUGGGAAGAAUUGGAUGGCUAUUAAGUUCGAUUUAGAAAAGACGUAUGACAGAGUAAAUUGGGAAUUUAUUGAUGUAUCUUUACAAGUUGUCGGGAUACUUGAUUUACUUCUAAAAGUGAUCAUGUCAUCCAUUUCUUCUUUGACCAUGCAGAUUCUUUGGAAUGGAGUUUGUACAGCCCAAUUUUGCCCCAAUCCCACUACCCAAAAUUUGACCCGGGCCCAUACCAGCAA